This 257-nucleotide ribosomal RNA is filed under the name uncultured bacterium. RNAcentral describes it as "partial 16S ribosomal RNA". It matches the Rfam family "Bacterial small subunit ribosomal RNA", at positions 524 to 777 of the family's 1533-position model. The record is from RNAcentral.
UACGUAGGGUGCAAGCGUUGUCCGGAAUUAUUGGGCGUAAAGAGCUCGUAGGCGGUUCGUCGCGUCGGCUGUGAAAUCCCGGAGCUCAACUCCGGGUCUGCAGUCGAUACGGGCGGACUUGAGUACUGCAGGGGAGACUGGAAUUCCUGGUGUAGCGGUGAAAAUGCGCAGAUAUCAGGAGGAACACCGGUGGCGAAGGCGGGGUCUCUGGGCAGUAACUGACGCUGAGGAGCGAAAGCGUGGGGGAGCGAACAGGG